GCUGUUGUAGCUCAGUUGGUAGAGCGCAUCCUUGGUAAGGAUGAGGUUCGGCAGUUCGAAUCUGCUCAACAGCUCCA
This 77-nucleotide transfer RNA is filed under the name Clostridiales bacterium. Its description in RNAcentral is "tRNA-Thr". It matches the Rfam family "tRNA". From Rfam's summary of the family: Transfer RNA (tRNA) molecules are approximately 80 nucleotides in length. Lineage: Bacteria; Bacillati; Bacillota; Clostridia; Eubacteriales. RNAcentral also lists the same sequence under 1 other name. The record is from RNAcentral.